CCCGGAUAUCGCUUGGGUCAUCUAGGCUUGAUUUUAGCCGGAUCUCAAAUUCAGCAAACGUACAAAGAAAAAAACAGACAAUGACAAAUAUUUUCGGAUUGAAUAAAAAUGAUAAAUACAUACAGAGCAUGAUCCAUAAAACUAACCCCAUCAUCAAAAUAAGUUCUAGGAUUGGACCUGAAAGAGUUGAAAACAAUAUCAGAUUAAUCCAAGAAGAAGAAAAGAAAGAGAAGAAAGGGUCGGAGUGUUCAGUUCUCGAGGGUAUGACCAAGAACAGCGGUCAC
Molecule: long non-coding RNA, 284 nt
Filed under: Elaeis guineensis (African oil palm)
Lineage: Eukaryota; Viridiplantae; Streptophyta; Magnoliopsida; Arecales; Arecaceae
Description: long non-coding RNA (EGUI_LNC005707)
Source: RNAcentral